This 476-nucleotide ribosomal RNA is filed under the name uncultured bacterium. RNAcentral's name for it is "bacterial SSU rRNA". It matches the Rfam family "Bacterial small subunit ribosomal RNA", at positions 28 to 507 of the family's 1533-position model. The record is from RNAcentral.
GAUGAACGCUAGCGACAGGCCUAACACAUGCAAGUCGAGGGGAAGGGCAGCAAUGCCCGAGACCGGCGCACGGGUGCGUAACGCGUAUGUAACCUGCCUUACACCGGGGGAUAGCCUUCCGAAAGGGAGAUUAAUACCGCAUAACACUAUAUUUCAGCAUUGGUUUAUAGUUAAAACUGAGGUGGUGUAAGAUGGGCAUGCGUAUGAUUAGCUAGUUGGGGGGGUAACGGCCCACCAAGGCGACGAUCAUUAGGGGUUCUGAGAGGAAGAUCCCCCACACUGGUACUGAGACACGGACCAGACUCCUACGGGAGGCAGCAGUGAGGAAUAUUGGUCAAUGGGCGGAAGCCUGAACCAGCCAUGUCGCGUGCAGGAAGACUGCCCUAUGGGUUGUAAACUGCUUUUGUAUGGGAAGAACACCAGAUACGAGUAUCUGUCUGCCGGUACCAUACGAAUAAGGAUCGGCUAACUCCGUG